RNAcentral lists this small nucleolar RNA (119 nucleotides) under Echinops telfairi (small Madagascar hedgehog). Its description in RNAcentral is "Small nucleolar RNA SNORA61 (ENSETEG00000026768.1)". The record is from RNAcentral. Lineage: Eukaryota; Metazoa; Chordata; Mammalia; Afrosoricida; Tenrecidae.
UCCCCCCAGAUUCCUUACAAACCCUCAGAUCUAACCAUUGGUCUGAGUGGCUAUCAAAGAGGAAAAGUAACACCGAAGCACACUUGGAGUCAUUAGCGAUGUACAAGUUUCAAAAAGCG